UACGUAGGGUGCAAGCGUUAAUCGGAAUUACUGGGCGUAAAGAGCGCGUAGGCGGAGAUCUAAGCGUGGCCUGAAAGCCCCCGGCUCAACCGGGGAGUGCGGCUGCGAACUGGGUUUCUUGAGGACGAUAGAGGAGAGUGGAAUUCCUGGUGUAGCGGUGAAAUGCGUAGAUAUCAGGAGGAACACCCGAGGCGAAGGCGGCUCUCUGGGUCGUACCUGACGCUGAGGCGCGAAAGCGUGGGGAGCGAACGGG
This 253-nucleotide ribosomal RNA is filed under the name uncultured bacterium. RNAcentral describes it as "partial 16S ribosomal RNA". It matches the Rfam family "Bacterial small subunit ribosomal RNA", at positions 524 to 776 of the family's 1533-position model. The record is from RNAcentral.